GGGGCUGACUUGGAUUCGACGGGCGUAGAAGGCUCCAGACUGCACGCCCACCCGGGUAAGUGGUAAAACUGCCCACUAAAAAUAAACGCAGUAAAUAACACUGAUUACACCCCUGCAGUAGCUAAAGCUGCUGCUUAAUUUAAAAACUCAAUAGGGGCUUCCCUCCCUCCGGUCUCCUCCACUGGAGAGAGGGAAGAACGGAAAUUCGGAGGAUAGGGGUAAGGUCUGGAGGGUGGCAGACCUGCCCCGAAACCUUUCCACCCGUCCGAUGGUAUGGGCUUUGCCCUUUGAGCCUACCCAUCGGAGCUAUCCAAUCAAAGGGCUAAGCGUGUAGAGGUCUGGAGUUGCCUGCGUCCGGACUGGGGUUCGAUUCCCCACAGCUCCACCA
This 388-nucleotide transfer-messenger RNA is filed under the name Nautiliaceae. RNAcentral's name for it is "PUXY01 sp009659955 Standard tmRNA". It matches the Rfam family "transfer-messenger RNA". From Rfam's summary of the family: Bacterial tmRNA, also known as 10Sa RNA or SsrA, is named for its dual tRNA and mRNA-like properties. Its role is to liberate the mRNA from a stalled ribosome. To accomplish this part of the tmRNA is used as a reading frame that ends in a translation stop signal. The record is from RNAcentral. RNAcentral also lists the same sequence under 1 other name. Lineage: Bacteria; Pseudomonadati; Campylobacterota; Epsilonproteobacteria; Nautiliales.